CAGAGUUCAUGCCCCUCGGGGCAGACCUCCCACCCUUUGUAUACAUUACCUUUGUUGCUUUGGCGGGCCGCCCUCGCGGCCACCGGCCUCGGCUGGUGCGCGCCCGCCAGAGAACCCCAAACCCUGUCUUACAGUGUCGUCCGAGUACUAUAUAAUAGUUA
Molecule: unclassified non-coding RNA, 161 nt
Filed under: uncultured Hyaloscyphaceae
Lineage: Eukaryota; Fungi; Ascomycota; Leotiomycetes; Helotiales
Description: sequence contains ITS1
Source: RNAcentral